CUGCACGACGCUACCCCGGGCUUCUCUGAAGUUCAAAAGUGACGAAGAAGCCCCAAUGCUUGUGCUAAAUCGCCGCCGUUAAGUGUUGCAGUUUAGCCUCUUUUUUUCUUCCACGGCUCAUCUGUGUCAAAGUAACGGCCAAAUCC
Molecule: non-coding RNA, 146 nt
Organism: Citrus sinensis (sweet orange)
Lineage: Eukaryota; Viridiplantae; Streptophyta; Magnoliopsida; Sapindales; Rutaceae
Source: Rfam